This 492-nucleotide ribosomal RNA is filed under the name uncultured Sphingobacteriales bacterium. RNAcentral's name for it is "bacterial SSU rRNA". It matches the Rfam family "Bacterial small subunit ribosomal RNA", at positions 888 to 1382 of the family's 1533-position model. The record is from RNAcentral. Lineage: Bacteria; Pseudomonadati; Bacteroidota; Sphingobacteriia; Sphingobacteriales.
CCCGCUCAGAAACUUAAAGGAAUUGACGGGGGCCCGCACAAGCGGUGGAGCAUGUGGUUUAAUUCGAUGAUACGCGAGGAACCUUACCUGGGCUCAAAUGUAUGUUGACGUAUUCUGAAAGGGAUACUUCUUCGGACAAUAUACAAGGUGCUGCAUGGUUGUCGUCAGCUCGUGCCGUGAGGUGUCGGGUUAAGUCCCAUAACGAGCGCAACCCCUAUCAUUAGUUGCCAUCAGGUCAAGCUGGGGACUCUAAUGAAACUGCCUACGCAAGUAGUGAGGAAGGUGGGGAUGACGUCAAAUCAGCACGGCCCUUACGUCCAGGGCUACACACGUGCUACAAUGGCCGAUACAGAGGGCAGCUACCUGGUGACAGGAUGCAAAUCUCCAAAGUCGGUCUCAGUUCGGAUCGGAGUCUGCAACCCGACUCCGUGAAGUUGGAUUCGCUAGUAAUCGCGCAUCAGCCAUGGCGCGGUGAAUACGUUCCCGGGCCUU